UGGGGAAUUUUGGACAAUGGGCGAAAGCCUGAUCCAGCAAUGCCGCGUGUGUGAAGAAGGCCUUCGGGUUGUAAAGCACUUUUGUCCGGAAAGAAAUCCUUGGCUCUAAUACAGUCGGGGGAUGACGGUACCGGAAGAAUAAGCACCGGCUAACUACGUGCCAGCAGCCGCGGUAAUACGUAGGGUGCAAGCGUUAAUCGGAAUUACUGGGCGUAAAGCGUGCGCAGGCGGUUUGCUAAGACCGAUGUGAAAUCCCCGGGCUCAACCUGGGAACUGCAUUGGUGACUGGCAGGCUAGAGUAUGGCAGAGGGGGGUAGAAUUCCACGUGUAGCAGUGAAAUGCGUAGAGAUGUGGAGGAAUACCGAUGGCGAAGGCAGCCCCCUGGGCCAAUACUGACGCUCAUGCACGAAAGCGUGGGGAGCAAACAGGAUUAGAUACCCUGGUAGUCCACGCCCUAAACGAUGUCAACUAGUUGUUGGGGACUUCAUUUCCUUGUAACGUAGCUAACGCGUGAAGUUGACCGCCUGGGGAGUACGGUCGCAAGAUUAAAACUUAAAGGAAUUGACGGGGU
RNAcentral lists this ribosomal RNA (571 nucleotides) under uncultured bacterium. RNAcentral describes it as "partial 16S ribosomal RNA". It matches the Rfam family "Bacterial small subunit ribosomal RNA", at positions 355 to 919 of the family's 1533-position model. The record is from RNAcentral.